RNAcentral lists this ribosomal RNA (1037 nucleotides) under uncultured Aestuariimicrobium sp. Its description in RNAcentral is "bacterial SSU rRNA". It matches the Rfam family "Bacterial small subunit ribosomal RNA", at positions 10 to 1064 of the family's 1533-position model. The record is from RNAcentral. Lineage: Bacteria; Bacillati; Actinomycetota; Actinomycetes; Propionibacteriales; Propionibacteriaceae.
AGUUUGAUCCUGGCUCAGGACGAACGCUGGCGGCGUGCUUAACACAUGCAAGUCGAGCGGUAAGGCCUUUCGGGGUACACGAGCGGCGAACGGGUGAGUAACACGUGAGUAACCUGCCCCAGACUUUGGGAUAACAGUUGGAAACAGCUGCUAAUACCGGAUAUGAGCCUCCCUGGCAUCGGGGGGGUUGGAAAGCUCCGGCGGUCUGGGAUGGGCUCGCGGCCUAUCAGCUUGUUGGUGAGGUAGUGGCUCACCAAGGCUUCGACGGGUAGCCGGCCUGAGAGGGCGACCGGCCACACUGGGACUGAGAUACGGCCCAGACUCCUACGGGAGGCAGCAGUGGGGAAUAUUGCACAAUGGGCGGAAGCCUGAUGCAGCAACGCCGCGUGCGGGAUGACGGCCUUCGGGUUGUAAACCGCUUUCACCUGUGACGAAGCGGAAGUGACGGUAGCAGGAGAAGAAGCACCGGCCAACUACGUGCCAGCAGCCGCGGUGAUACGUAGGGUGCGAGCGUUGUCCGGAAUUAUUGGGCGUAAAGAGCUUGUAGGCGGUUUGUCGCGUCGGAAGUGAAAACUCAGGGCUCAACCCUGAGCGUGCUUUCGAUACGGGCAGACUUGAGGAAUGCAGGGGAGAAUGGAAUUCCUGGUGGAGCGGUGGAAUGCGCAGAUAUCAGGAGGAACACCGGUGGCGAAGGCGGUUCUCUGGGCAUUUCCUGACGCUGAGAAGCGAAAGCGUGGGGAGCAAACAGGCUUAGAUACCCUGGUAGUCCACGCCGUAAACGGUGGGUACUAGGUGUGGGGGACAUUCCACGUUCUCCGUGCCGCAGCUAACGCAUUAAGUACCCCGCCUGGGGAGUACGGCCGCAAGGCUAAAACUCAAAGGAAUUGACGGGGCCCCGCACAAGCGGCGGAGCAUGUUCAUUAAUUCGAUGCAACGCGAAGAACCUUACCUGGGUUUGACAUAUACCGGAAACAUCUGGAGACAGGUGCCCCUUUUUGGUCGGUAUACAGGUGGUGCAUGGCUGUCGUCAGCUCGUG